CACGUGUACAUACAGAUCACGUUCAUUCACUGCACAUGACAAAAAGAAACAAAUAAAACAAUAACAAUAUAUAUCUAAAGACCAUUUUAACCUAUCCAGCUUAAAACAAGACCUAACAAAGUAGCUCUUCUACCUUUCACAUGAAUACUAACUUUUUCUUUACUUUCACUUUCACACCUAAAUCUUAAUCGCCGCACCUAACAAAAAUCUGGCUCUCUCUCUAUCUGAACAUCGCAUCUUCUAUUUCCUCUCCUACUGUCUGUCCCUUUGAUACUGAAGAAAGUUGCAUCUUCUCUCCUCGCAUUGUUGUUCUGCCGAAGUGUCAUCCUUCCUCAUCAUCCUCCUUCAUAGAUCUGCACUCCCUCUUUGUGUGAUCCGAGUGGAUUUUUUUUAGCACCAUUUUUUUUUCUUUUGUUGUUGAUCUAUGUCGUAUAUUGCAGAUCUAGGUUGUACUUUGUUUGCUGUAAUUUGUUUUGUUUUAUUUUCUUGUUGAUCUUUUAUGUUGUGGCUUGCCGUGGGUACGGUCUAUAGGGUGGAUUUUUGGUUGGUUUUUUUUUUGUAGUUUAUUGUUUCUUUACCUUAUGAUCUCAAACCGCACCACCCUCCCUCUCCCUAUCAAACUUCAUACACUUGAAGAGACCAUGUUUAGAUCUACGUUCAUAGGAUCUUUAUGUUUUUGAUUCACAUUUAUUCUAUUUUUCUUUCGGUUGAAAUUUAUUCUUGCUUUUCUAUUUCUAUUGUUUUCUGUUUUGUAGUAAAUUUUUUUUAUUCUUUUUCAUCGGUUGAUAUUUAUUCUUGUCUGAUCAGAUCCACCACCUACGGCCCCUCGUCGUCUCCCACAAGCCCUCACCCUCAUAGCUUCUGAAGGUACAUCUCGUUGCUUGUCUCCCUCUCUCCUAAACUGCGAGCAAAUCGAAAGAUUUCUUUACUGAAGUUAUGAAAAUUAAAAGAUUUUAUUGGGUUUUUUUUU
This is a long non-coding RNA of Carya illinoinensis, 970 nucleotides long. RefSeq lists it as uncharacterized. The transcript is spliced from 2 exons. The record is from RefSeq and is a predicted model, not a curated record. Lineage: Eukaryota; Viridiplantae; Streptophyta; Magnoliopsida; Fagales; Juglandaceae.